Molecule: ribosomal RNA, 414 nt
Filed under: Triticum aestivum (bread wheat)
Lineage: Eukaryota; Viridiplantae; Streptophyta; Magnoliopsida; Poales; Poaceae
Description: partial small subunit ribosomal RNA
Source: RNAcentral
AUGCCGGCCGCCGCACUCAGGCAGCAACUCAACGACCACGUCGGCCACAUGUACGCCACGGGAAUUCUGGACGAAUAUUACCAACAGCUGCAGUUGACGCAGGACGAGGUCAUCAACAUCUUCUUCCACGACGCCGACAGGAUGCUCAAUGACAUCACCAGUCUUCUGAACCUGCCCAUCGUCGACUUCGAAAUGGUGGGCGAACUGGUGCACCAGCUCAAGGCGUGCAACUGCAGUGUUGGUGCUACGAAAGUUAACCUUGCCUGCGAGCACUUUCGCCAGUUCUACGGGGCAAAAAGCAAAGAAGGGUGUCUCAUGGCAUUGAAUCUUCUUAGGAAUGAGUUCUAUGAUCUGCGCGGCAGGCUACGGACCAUUAUGCAGUUGGAGCAGCAGAUAUGCAGCCUUGGGUCCUAA